GGUCAAGAGCGUCAGCGUGCAGCCCUGGCUUGCUGACCGGCAACCCUCCGCUGCGGUGGGGUGCUCCAGGUGACGACCGGACAGGACGACGGCGUCCUGUAAGCGCGAGGC
RNAcentral lists this non-coding RNA (111 nucleotides) under Streptacidiphilus jiangxiensis. RNAcentral's name for it is "SAM-IV sequence". It matches the Rfam family "SAM (S-adenosyl methionine) riboswitch aptamer". Rfam says of the family: SAM-IV is a mRNA element that regulates gene expression via direct sensing of S-adenosylmethionine (SAM or AdoMet). The record is from Rfam by way of RNAcentral. Lineage: Bacteria; Bacillati; Actinomycetota; Actinomycetes; Kitasatosporales; Streptomycetaceae.